Malaclemys terrapin pileata is the source of this 1281-nucleotide long non-coding RNA. RefSeq lists it as uncharacterized. The transcript is spliced from 4 exons. The record is from RefSeq and is a predicted model, not a curated record. Lineage: Eukaryota; Metazoa; Chordata; Testudines; Emydidae.
CAAGUUUUUCUAUUUCAAAAAUCAGUGUAGACUCUUGACAAAUUCCUAGAUAGAGCAGUCUGAACACUCUAGUGAAUACCGACGAAAGACUCAGGAACAUUUCAGUGACUGAAACAUAGAAUUUACAGUUAUGAUUUGACCAUUUUAAUGCUGCUUUUUGUGAACAUUCACAGGAUCAAAACUUUGCUUUACAAAUGUUCCAAAUAAUUACCAAAUGGAAUCCCUGUUGGGAGGGGGCAUCACCUUAGAAAUUCUCCCUGUGUUUUAUGGUCAUCCAAAGAUGGACCAGAAGCAAUAUCAUGUAACUUAGAUGACCACUUACGGAGCUCCAGUGUCAGCUACAAAUACAGAAUACCCAUAGGAAAGAGUUACACAGCAAUCUAUAAAUCUACAUAUGUUUGCACAGAACAUUUAUCAAACAAUUUCAUACAUCAAAUAAGCCUGUCAGACUGCAGUCUGCUCAUAAUUUGUGAACAGGAACAAGGGCUAAAUUCAUUAAAUAAAUUGUUUGUUGUGAAUUGUUCACCCAACUCCCCUCCGAGGUGCAUUGCAAAGAAGUCGUGUAAUGUCUGCUUUGCAGGCUAUAUAAAGACAGGCAUUAAAAGGCUGCUUACACCUUUUCCCCUUGUUUCCAUCCUUAUGAAUAUUUUAAAACCGUGUCCAGUUCUCUGUGUUCUUCAUGAUUAAAUGCUACUAUUCCCUUAGUUCUCCAUGAACUGGUAUAUUCUGAUUGAAAUAAACAACAGGUAACAGAAAAGACCCCACGGCAUUAUUAAUUACCCUAACUGUCAAUUAUACGUUACCCACAGGAACAAGACAGAUGGUAAGACAAACAGUGGUGAGAUAGACUGGUAUGGCUGACUGCUUCACACUCACCUUAGAAAGAAAGAUGAUACAUCACUGUUAGUGUGAACUGAGAAAGGAUGACCUUCUGUGACACAUACAAGACAUAUUGAGGGAAGUGUCCAAACCCAGCUGAAGGAGAACUAAUCCUGUGGAGCCCAGCAGAGCAGCAGGAUCAUAUAUGAACAUCUGCAAAAUCUAUUAGGAAGAACAGAACAAUGGUAUAGACCAAGACAUGGAUUGAAGACUUGCUCCAGUUUAGCCUGAGGAUGUCACACAUGCACCUCAUCAAGUCCACUCUCACAUUGACAGACGGAGGCUUGGUGGAUGAUUGGUUGCAUCUGACGAAAUUCAGAACAGCUUCUUAAAGGAGAUAAAGUGCCAAUUGAAAGCCAGGAUUGUCCUGUCGGUGAUUGUCUGCUGUUUGCAAUCAGUCUG